Long non-coding RNA from Vicia villosa (hairy vetch), 1633 nucleotides. RefSeq lists it as uncharacterized. NCBI's taxonomy places the organism in Eukaryota, Viridiplantae, Streptophyta, Magnoliopsida, Fabales, Fabaceae. The record is from RefSeq and is a predicted model, not a curated record. The transcript has 12 exons.
CAAACGUAAAACCCUAUUCCCAAUCAAAAAACCCUAUCGUUCUUCUUCUUCUCCCAAACCAAAAAUCUAUUGAAUCCACGAACAAACUUUCUCAAUCCACAAACAAACCUUUUGAAUUCGAUGAACCCUAAUUGAACCCCUUCUGAAUCCCUUCUUCGCUCACGAAAUUUCCUCUUUCUUCUCUCACGAAAAUCGCUUCGCAAUCCCUUCUUCUCUCACGAAAUUUCCUUCAGCAAAUUCGAAGAACACGGGGAAUCGAAGGACCGAUUUUCUUCUUCUGCAAAACAAAUUUCGCUUCUUCUGGGUGUAUAUCUUCUUCUUCGGCCACCGUAACACAAUCGGUGGAAGCCUCCAAUCCCUCAGAAUCACGCCGUCGAUAUUGACGUCUCUUCCAACAGAGGGUAUAUUUUAGUCAGGAGGCCUUCAUCGUCGUCGGGUACAGUCGAAGGCCAUCAACGAUUCGAAGAACAUCAAAGCAUCAUCAUCCUCCAUCGAUUUUCAUAAAGAAUAGUGGGUUUUCCCUAACACCUAAGUUUCAUCCGUCGUCGGCACCAAUAACCCCUGACUUCCUUUUUACCGUUUAAUACCGGCAACGGUGGACAUUGGUUGUUGGUCGCGAUUAAUCCUAUCAGUGAAGUUGUAUAUUUUCUGGAUUCCUUACACAAUCCAGUUAGUACAUACGAAUCUAUGAAGAAGUUGGGUGAUACCGUUAUACAAGUUUUUCGAGCCCAAAGAGGAAGUCAAGUACCAAAGAGUAAAGACAACAACAUCACAUGGAUUCAAGUGGAGUGUCCUGGGCAGCGUAAUGCAGUAGAUUGCGGUUUUUACAUGUUGCAGUUUAUGAAAGAAAUUCUUCUUUCAAAUCAAAUAGAGAUUCCGUCCAAGUACUUUGAUGACUUCAAGUGUGCUACUUACUCAAGAUCUAAGUUGGAUGAACUUAAGGAGGAAUGGUGUCAAUUCAUGAUUGAGUUGAAAGUUGUAUAGGAUAUUGAAGGGUAAAAAGGUUACAGUUGCUGGCAAGAAGAAAAAGUAGAUAUUUAACAUCCUUUUGACUUGGAUGUAAUUUUGUGUAAUUGUUUUCAUUGAAUUGGAUGUAAUUUUGUUGUUUUGGGUAAAAAUGUUUUGGAUGAUGCAAUUGUUUUCAUUGAAUUGGAAGUCAAGUACCAAAGAGUAAAGACAACAACAUCACAUGGAUUCAAGUGGAGUGUCCUGGGCAGCGUAAUGCAGUAGAUUGCGGUUUUUACAUGUUGCAGUUUAUGAAAGAAAUUCUUCUUUCAAAUCAAAUAGAGAUUCCGUCCAAGUACUUUGAUGACUUCAAGUGUGCUACUUACUCAAGAUCUAAGUUGGAUGAACUUAAGGAGGAAUGGUGUUAAUUCAUGAUUGAGUUGAAAGUUGUAUAGGAUAUUGAAGGGUAAAAAGGUUACAGUUGCUGGCAAGAAGAAAAAGUAGAUAUUUAACAUCCUUUUGACUUGGAUGUAAUUUUGUGUAAUUGUUUUCAUUGAAUUGGAUGUAAUUUUGUUGUUUUGGGUAAAAAUGUUUUGGAUGAUGCAAUUGUUUUCAUUGAAUUGAAUGUAAUUUUGUUGUUGUUUAUUAAUAUAUUCCUAGCAUCUUAGCAUAUAAAAAAUACAAAGUU